RNAcentral lists this ribosomal RNA (659 nucleotides) under Polypedilum unifascium. RNAcentral's name for it is "partial 28S ribosomal RNA". It matches the Rfam family "Eukaryotic large subunit ribosomal RNA", at positions 430 to 944 of the family's 3401-position model. Lineage: Eukaryota; Metazoa; Arthropoda; Insecta; Diptera; Chironomidae. The record is from RNAcentral.
CCAAAUAUCUAAACGGAGAAAUUCAAUAUUACCCCUUAACCGCGUAAUGUGCACUUUUCUCUUAGUAAGACGCCGUGAUUCAUUAGAAAUUGAUAUACGCCAAGUAUAUAGUGGGUCAUCAAUAGGCUAGUGUGAAGUUUAUUGGAACAAAUGGCGCGAUCUUUAACGGUUGUGUGUAUUGUCUGGUAAGCGCAUUAUGUCCUGUAAUGACUGUCUGAUGAGUUUUAAAGAUUAUACCAUUGGUGCUACGGCAUCAUGUGCAUGUUCACAAUUGAGGUAUAUGUCUGAUCAACGGCGGUUAAAUUUGGGAUACCUUUAUGACCCGUCUUGAAACACGGACCAAGGAGUCUAUCUAGUAUGCGAGUAAAUGGAUAGUUAAUGAAAUCUAUUUGCGCAAUAAACGUAACUGUAUUAUGGGAUUACGAUUAAUAAUUAGUAAUGGUUAUUUUUCUUCCAUCCCGGGGUAUUUUUAUCAACAUAUGCCGUUAAAAAGUAUAUGGAAAAUAUACCAUGAGCAUACUGGAUACGACCCGAAAGAUGGUGAACUAUGCCUGAUCAGGUCGAAGUCAGGGGAAACCCUGAUGGAGGACCGAAGCAGUUCUGACGUGCAAAUCGAUUGUCAGAAUUGGGCAUAGGGGCGAAAGACCAAUCGAACCAUC